UACGAAGGGGGCUAGCGUUGCUCGGAAUCACUGGGCGUAAAGGGUGCGUAGGCGGCGGGGCAAGUCAGGUGUGAAAUCCCGGAGCUCAACUCCGGAACUGCACUUGAUACUGCCUCGCUAGAGUACUGGAGAGGAGACUGGAAUUUACGGUGUAGCAGUGAAAUGCGUAGAGAUCGUAAGGAAGACCAGUGGCGAAGGCGAGUCUCUGGACAGUUACUGACGCUGAGGCACGAAGGCCAGGGGAGCAAACGGG
This 253-nucleotide ribosomal RNA is filed under the name uncultured bacterium. RNAcentral's name for it is "partial 16S ribosomal RNA". It matches the Rfam family "Bacterial small subunit ribosomal RNA", at positions 524 to 776 of the family's 1533-position model. The record is from RNAcentral.